This 2242-nucleotide long non-coding RNA is filed under the name Oryza sativa (Asian cultivated rice). Its description in RNAcentral is "long non-coding RNA (OSAT_LNC001436)". The record is from RNAcentral. Lineage: Eukaryota; Viridiplantae; Streptophyta; Magnoliopsida; Poales; Poaceae.
UGAACAGAAAAUGCCAAUACUAAAAUCAGGUAAUGAGAUAGGUCCUACUGCUCCGUGGAAAUUUAAGUUUUCAGGAACGAUAGGAUGUAAACAAUUACGACGAUCAUAGUAACAUCAAAAUGCCACAAAUCACGCCAUUUGUUUUGUGAUAAUAAGGAAACAAGCAUGGCCAUACACCAGAUUCACAUAUUUUGGAUGAUUGAUAGAUCCACAAUUUACAUUGCAGAGAGCGAAACAAAGCAUCAUUAAUCAUAUCCAUCCAUCAAUCGAUUAAUCAUACCACUAUACAGACCCUAGAUUAUCCAAAUCACACCGAAAAGAAAGCACAAAACAAAGUAGGAGGGAGCAAGCAAAGCGUAAAUGAAAAUAAAGAGAGAUCACAUGAUAGGUAAGGAAACAACAGACCAGAGAGUUAUUGUGUGUCAAAACUGUGGAUCCUGAGAAGAGGAGGGGGAGUAGAAAAACAGAAACUAUGAACAUGAACAGUGCAUUUUUCUUUUCAUUCAGUUCUAUUUUGCACAAGGGAACCUACUGUUCAUUACUUCUUUUCUCUCACCGGCACAUGUAAACAAAACUUGUCUAAAAGUUAAAAGAGCUUGUAUAUCCUAUAUCCAACUAAGUCUACAUCUAUGAUCUCUUUACAUCCUGAACUCCACAGGCUAUUUUAGCUGUCAAGGGGAGAGUAACAAUUGUCCAUGACUAAACUUAAUGUAUUUUGUUGGGCCAAUGAAUCCACCAAUAUCUCAGUUUUCUAGAUGGUUAUGAAUCCACCAGUAUCUCAGUUUUCUAGAAGGUAUCGCAAACCACAUGGAUAAGCAACAGAUCGAGUUAAUAUCAAUUACAAAGAAGGUCUUAAACGAAGGUUACCAAGGUGGUUUACGAGUUGUAGAGAUUUUGACAGGGAUGCAAAUGCUUGGAGGGAAGAUAUUAAGGACAUAGCAGAGUUCCCGUGAUUGAAAAGCCAGAUAAGAGAGGAAUGAGGAAAGAUGUAAAUUAAUUGUGGAGUUUCAAGUGAAAUGGAAAACUUACAGGUAUUACUGUAUUAGCAAUCUAGCAUCAUGCUUGUAAAAAGAAGUAUCUAAACUCUAAACAAGAAUGGCAGCAUGGGACUAAUAUGAUUUUACAAUUUUACUAGACAGGCUCAUUAUCAGAAGACUAACACCAUUGAUUGGUGAAAUCGGUUUAGUGGAAGAAUAAACGAACCCAAUGAAGCUAAAACAACCAUCGGUCUUGCAGGGAGGUAGAACUAUGGGAAUAUUUCCAAUAUCACUAGAUUAUAGCUUUGUGUAUCAGAAAAGGACAAUCUAAACAAGAACAGUGAAAUAGGAGCAAAUCAAUGACCACUCAUGGAGUACUUUAUGUUUAAUCGAUAGAGUUCUACUGGAUUACUCACUGUUAAAGCUGAAAUAUAUUUCUUGAAAGAAAUGCUCCAACAAAACUAAACCAUGUUUCCUGCAUCACAAGCAAAUCGAGCGGUAAUGUAAUUGCUUCUUCUGCAUAUAUUAUUACAUAAUUGAUUAUACUAACUGGUAGCUUAAAACAUGGCUAAAUUUGAAAUGCAACAUUACCGUUGCGGGCGACAGUACAUUAAAUGAUCCAUAGUAUUAACCAACAAGUUGAAAUACAAAUGGAAACAAAAAAACUGCCAAUGUACUCCCUCCGUUUCACAAAGUAAGUCAUUCUAGCAUUUCCCACAUUCAUAUUGAUGUUAAUAAAAGAUUCAUUACCAUCAAUAUGAAUGUGGGAAAUGCUAGAAUGACUUACAUUGUGAAACGGAGGAAGUAAUAACUAAAAUCCGGCAAUGAGAUAGGUCCUACAGCUCCCUGGAAAUUGAAGUUUUCAGGAAUGUGGUAGGAUGUAGUAAACAAUUGCAGUGAUAAUAGUAACAUCAAUAAGCCACAAAUCACGUCAUUUCUUUUCCGAUAAUAAGCCAGAUCCACAUAUUUUGAAUGAUAGAUAGAUCCACAAUUUACAUUGCAGUAUUGAACAGAGCGAAACGCAAAGCAUCAUUAAUCAGAUCCAUCCAUCAAUCGAUUAAUCACACCAUUAUCCAAACCCUAGGUUGUCCAAAUCACACCGGAAUGAAAACACAAAAUAGAGAGCAAGCAAAGCACAAAUCAGGAGAGAUCACAUGAUAGGUAAGGAAACGACAAGCAAGAGAGAGUUAUUAUGUGUCAAACUGUGGAUCCUGAGAGGGGGAGAGAGAGGGAGAGAGGGGAGAAAACCAGAAAUGACAAAUUAU